Molecule: microRNA precursor, 124 nt
Filed under: Gossypium hirsutum (cotton)
Lineage: Eukaryota; Viridiplantae; Streptophyta; Magnoliopsida; Malvales; Malvaceae
Description: MIR7504 microRNA precursor family
Rfam family: MIR7504 microRNA precursor family
Source: Rfam by way of RNAcentral
GAUAGGAGAAUGACAAGUUAGAUUUUUCUUCUUGAUUUUCAGCUUUUUUUCUCCUGAAAAAAUUCAAAUUCAACUAAAAAUGCUAAAAAUCAGAAGAAAAAAUAUGAUUUGUCAUUCUCCUAUU